GAUGAACGCUGGCGGCGUGCCUAAUACAUGCAAGUCGAGCGAACGGACGAGAAGCUUGCUUCUCUGAUGUUGGCGGCGGACGGGUGAGUAACACGUGGAUAACCUACCUAUAAGACUGGGAUAACUUCGGGAAACCGGAGCUAAUACCGGAUAAUAUUUUGAACCGCAUGGUUCAAAAGUGAAAGACGGUCUUGCUGUCACUUAUAGAUGGAUCCGCGCUGCAUUAGCUAGUUGGUAAGGUAACGGCUUACCAAGGCAACGAUGCAUAGCCGACCUGAGAGGGUGAUCGGCCACACUGGAACUGAGACGCGGUCCAGACUCCUACGGGAGGCAGCAGUAGGGAGUCUUCCGCAAUGGGCGAAAGCCUGACGGAGCAACGCCGCGUGAGUGAUGAAGGUCUUCGGAUCGUAAAACUCUGUUAUUAGGGAAGAACAUAUGUGUAAGUAACUGUGCACAUCUUGACGGUACCGAGUCAGAAAGCCACGGCUAACUACGUG
This 497-nucleotide ribosomal RNA is filed under the name uncultured bacterium. RNAcentral describes it as "partial 16S ribosomal RNA". It matches the Rfam family "Bacterial small subunit ribosomal RNA", at positions 28 to 507 of the family's 1533-position model. The record is from RNAcentral.